This 476-nucleotide ribosomal RNA is filed under the name uncultured bacterium. Its description in RNAcentral is "SSU rRNA". It matches the Rfam family "Bacterial small subunit ribosomal RNA", at positions 26 to 518 of the family's 1533-position model. The record is from RNAcentral.
AGGACGAACGCUGGCGGCGUGCUUAACACAUGCAAGUCGAGCGGAAAGGCCCUUCGGGGUACUCGAGCGGCGAACGGGUGAGUAACACGUGAGCAAUCUGCCCCUAGCUCUGGGAUAGCUCCGGGAAAACCGGGAUUAAUACCAGAUACAACCACUUUAGACAUCUUUUGUGGUGGAAAGGAUUCCGGCUAGGGAUGAGCUCGCGGCCUAUCAGCUUGUUGGUUGGGGUAACGGCCCACCAAGGCGACGACGGGUAGCCGGCCUGAGAGGGCGACCGGCCACACUGGGACUGAGACACGGCCCAGACUCCUACGGGAGGCAGCAGUGGGGAAUAUUGCGCAAUGGGCGAAAGCCUGACGCAGCGACGCCGCGUGGGGGAUGAAGGCCUUCGGGUUGUAAACCCCUUUCAGCAGGGACGAAGCGAAAGUGACGGUACCUGCAAAAGAAGCGCCGGCUAACUACGCGCCAGCAGCCGC